UAAUUUGAGAGUUUGAUCCUGGCUCAGGACGAACGCUGGCGGCGUGCCUAAUACAUGCAAGUCGAACGAACUCUGGUAUUGAUUGGUGCUUGCAUCAUGAUUUACAUUUGAGUGAGUGGCGAACUGGUGAGUAACACGUGGGAAACCUGCCCAGAAGCGGGGGAUAACACCUGGAAACAGAUGCUAAUACCGCAUAACAACUUGGACCGCAUGGUCCGAGUUUGAAAGAUGGCUUCGGCUAUCACUUUUGGAUGGUCCCGCGGCGUAUUAGCUAGAUGGUGGGGUAACGGCUCACCAUGGCAAUGAUACGUAGCCGACCUGAGAGGGUAAUCGGCCACAUUGGGACUGAGACACGGCCCAAACUCCUACGGGAGGCAGCAGUAGGGAAUCUUCCACAAUGGACGAAAGUCUGAUGGAGCAACGCCGCGUGAGUGAAGAAGGGUUUCGGCUCGUAAAACUCUGUUGUUAAAGAAGAACAUAUCUGAGAGUAACUGUUCAGGUAUUGACGGUAUUUAACCAGAAAGCCACGGCUAACUACGUGCCAGCAGCCGCGGUAAUACGUAGGUGGCAAGCGUUGUCCGGAUUUAUUGGGCGUAAAGCGAGCGCAGGCGGUUUUUUAAGUCUGAUGUGAAAGCCUUCGGCUCAACCGAAGAAGUGCAUCGGAAACUGGGAAACUUGAGUGCAGAAGAGGACAGUGGAACUCCAUGUGUAGCGGUGAAAUGCGUAGAUAUAUGGAAGAACACCAGUGGCGAAGGCGGCUGUCUGGUCUGUAACUGACGCUGAGGCUCGAAAGUAUGGGUAGCAAACAGGAUUAGAUACCCUGGUAGUCCAUACCGUAAACGAUGAAUGCUAAGUGUUGGAGGGUUUCCGCCCUUCAGUGCUGCAGCUAACGCAUUAAGCAUUCCGCCUGGGGAGUACGGCCGCAAGGCUGAAACUCAAAGGAAUUGACGGGGGCCCGCACAAGCGGUGGAGCAUGUGGUUUAAUUCGAAGCUACGCGAAGAACCUUACCAGGUCUUGACAUACUAUGCAAAUCUAAGAGAUUAGACGUUCCCUUCGGGGACAUGGAUACAGGUGGUGCAUGGUUGUCGUCAGCUCGUGUCGUGAGAUGUUGGGUUAAGUCCCGCAACGAGCGCAACCCUUAUUAUCAGUUGCCAGCAUUAAGUUGGGCACUCUGGUGAGACUGCCGGUGACAAACCGGAGGAAGGUGGGGAUGACGUCAAAUCAUCAUGCCCCUUAUGACCUGGGCUACACACGUGCUACAAUGGAUGGUACAACGAGUUGCGAACUCGCGAGAGUAAGCUAAUCUCUUAAAGCCAUUCUCAGUUCGGAUUGUAGGCUGCAACUCGCCUACAUGAAGUCGGAAUCGCUAGUAAUCGCGGAUCAGCAUGCCGCGGUGAAUACGUUCCCGGGCCUUGUACACACCGCCCGUCACACCAUGAGAGUUUGUAACACCCAAAGUCGGUGGGGUAACCUUUUAGGAACCAGCCGCCUAAGGUGGGACAGAUGAUUAGGGUGAAGUCGUAACAAGGUAGCCGUAGGAGAACCUGCGGCUGGAUCACCUCCUUU
Molecule: ribosomal RNA, 1567 nt
Rfam family: Bacterial small subunit ribosomal RNA
Source: Rfam